Molecule: long non-coding RNA, 4725 nt
Organism: Scylla paramamosain (green mud crab)
Lineage: Eukaryota; Metazoa; Arthropoda; Malacostraca; Decapoda; Portunidae
Exons: 4
Source: RefSeq, a predicted model, not a curated record
GUAAAAUUGCCGUGACGUCACGGCCGCCAUCAUGGACCAGGGACCUUGAUCGGCUCCGCUGUCUCCUCGGUAAUAUUUAUCGUAUUUUGCAGUGUUUUCCUGGUGUUUCCACGUCUUUCUAGACUCAGACGUGUAGAUAAGACUAGAAUGAGUAAGAAAAUAAGAGAAAAAGAGGAGGAAAAUGAAGGGAGAAGGAAUAGAGGAGGUGGUAAGACAGGAAAAUGCUAAGAAAACAAUAUUUAGGUUAAUUUUCCCUGCUGCCCUGUCUGUCUUUGUAGUAUUUGUCUUCCUUGACAGUGCUUUCAGUGUAUUUGGUGUGUUUAGGGGGUGUUGGAGUGUGUCUGGAGGUGUUUAUGGGGUGUUGGAGUGUGUGUUGAUGGGAUGUGGUGAUGUUUGAGUCAAUAUUUAGCGUUCCUGGUGCGUUUUGGGGUGUCUUAGGCUUGUUUAGGAGUGCUUUAAGUGUGUUUUGGACUGUUUGCAAUGUUUUGAGAUGUUUCGAGUGUAUUUUGGGAUGUUAUGGAUGAGUUUGGGUGUGUUGUGUGGAUACGGGUGAGUUGUGGCCGCGUUUGUGGGUAUUUUUGGGUAUUCUAGGUCAGUCUGGGUGUGUUUUGGGGUGUAUUGAGUGUGUUUUGGGCCGUUUUCAGUGUUUUGGAAUGUUUUAAGUGUGUUUUGGGAUGUUAUGGAUGAGUUUGAGUGUGUUUUGGGUUGGUACGGUGUGUUUUGGAUGCGUUUUAAGUCAAUUUGGGUGAGUUUUGGAGUAUUUUAAGUGUGUUUGGGCAUAUUUUGGUGCCUUUUCGAUGUGUUUAGGAUGUUUUUUGUGCGUUUAGGAAUGUUCUGGAUAUGUUUAAGGUGUUUUAAGGUGUUUUAGUGUGGUUGGAGUUGCUUUUGAGGUGUUUUGGUUAUGUUAUAGGCAUGUUGCAGAUAAGUACUGGGUCUUUGAGGGUAGAAGUGGUGUGCUUGAGGUAAAAUAAAAGGUUCUGGAGUGUUUAAGGGGGGACUGUGAUAGUAGAAGCGUGUCAGGGGUGUUAUAGCGUGUGUUGUGAUGUAUGAAGCUUCUAGAUGCACGUGUGUGGGAUGUCUGGGUCUUUACGAGGUGUUGUGGUGUUGAAGUCCUAGCAGGGGAAGGUACUGGAGGUUGUAGUGAUGGGUAGAGGGUAAAAACAGAGGUACACUUUAGGUUAGGUAAGGUUAAGUGUUCAUUGGUGUUGAUUCAGUAAUACGAUCUUUUUUUCUUUUAAGAUACAAAUGUAGAGGGACGAAAUAGGGAAGCAGGAAGACCACCACCACCACCACCACCAUCACCACCAGCAGUGUGGAAGAAAGUUUAGGCAAGCGAAGAAAGUUGGAAAAUUAAUAAUUAAACGCUUGCUGUCUUUUAUUAUCUUGAGUAUAAAGUGGUUAUAUGACAAUCUCUCUCUCUCUCUCUCUCUCUCUCUCUCUCUCUCUCUCUCUCUCUCUCUCUCUCUCUCUCUCUCUCUCUCUCUCUCUCUCUCUCUCUCUCAGCUUUGUAUUAGUUACCCGUUGACAGAAGUGACAGCCGCGUUUUCUCUUGUCAGAUGUAAACAAAGCGGUAGUUUCCUUCCAGCUGGUGAUAAAACUCUUUCUCGCUCUUCCUCACUCUCCCACGUCACGGAAGCAGUGUGUGUGUGUGUGUGUGUGUGUGUGUGUGUGUGUGAAGAAGAAAACGUUAUAUUAUAUCUACGUGUUUAAAAGUUUCCUUCAUUUAAGUCCAAAGAGGCUGGCUGGCUGAUGCUAAGGAAGGAAGAAAGGGGUGGUGUUUAGGGGUCUGGGAUGGAAAGCGAGUGAUGUGUUUUGUAGCCUUCAGAUAAAAAAUAUUAACAAAGUUUACACAGUGGGAAAAUUUUGGUGGUGAGAGAGAAAAUGACUAAAAUAUUACCUCAAAUUUAACCAAACGUGGUGGAGCUUCACACUCCUCAGCUGACCCUAAUCAAACCAAGCCUAACCCAAAGAAGCCUACCCUAACUUGUGUCUGGUGCUUCCUCCUCCCCAAGACUGGCUAUCUCGUGUCUUAAUCCCAAGCUGGCCUAACCAAACUUUACCUAACCUAACCUAAGCAAUUCUAACCUAGCCAAACCUUACCUAAGCAAGCCUAACCUAGCCAAGCCUUACCUAACCUAACCUAACCUAACCUAACCUAACCUAGCCAAACCUUACCUAAGCAAGCCUAACCUAGCCAAGCCUUACCUAACCUAACCUAACCUCACCUAACCUAACCUUAAGAAACCUAGCCAAACCUAACAUAACCUAGCCUAACCAAACCUAACCUAACCUACAUCCUCUUCCCACUGCCCCACUUAACCAAACCUAAUGUAACUUUCAGAGCAACGGCAACCCUCCGAUCCGGCAAGCAAGUUGGCGGCAGCGAUGGUGGUGGCGGCGGCAGUGGUGGUGAGGUGGACGGCAGGGACAGAGGGGCAGUACAGGCUGCGGACAUCAAGGAGAAGAGGAACGCACGGACAAGCAAGGUGUUAUUCGGCAGUCUGAUCCUGGACCUGCUCGGCUUGAAGGUGGUGCUGCCUGUGUCUCCUGCUCUCCUCGACUGUUACUCCAAGCACAACACCAGCGGCUUGUAUUCCUCUCAGCUCUCCUGUGUGACUUAUUACCAGCAUAUCAUCGGUUUCGCUGCGAGGUUCCAUUCUGUCUUGUUUGGUAAUUAAGUGGGUUUGUUGUGUUUUGUAUUGGUUUAUAUAUUUUUAGCUUGUUUUUAUUAUUAUUUUUUCAAUUUUUUUAUCCUAUUAUCUAUUUAUUUAUUUUUUGUUUGUUUGUUUGUUUACAGGGUGUGUGUGUGUUUGUUUGUGUUCCUGCUGUUCAAUAUUGCAGCUUGUUUUCUUUAUUAUUGUUAUUUUGUGUUUUAUUCUAUUUCAGUGUUCUGAGGGAGUCUUCAGGUGUUUUUGGGGUGUUUUGGGGUGUUUUUGGAGUGUUUUGGGGUGUUUUUGGUGUGUUGUGAAGUGUUUUGAUGUGUUUUGGGGUGGUUAAGGGGUGUUUUGAAGUGUUUUGUGGUGUUGUGGAGGUGUUUUGGGAUUUUUGGUGUGUUUUAAAGUGUUUUGGGAUGUUUUUGGAAUGUUUUGAUGUGUUUUGAGAUGUUUAGGAGUAUUUUUGGAGUAUUUUGGUGUGUUUUUGGAGUGUUUUGGGAUGUGUUUGUAGUGUUUUGGGGUGUUUUGGGGUAUUUUGAAGGUGUUUUGGUGUGUUUUUGGAGUGUUUUGGGGUAUUUUGGGAUGUUUUGGUGUGUUUUGGGUUAUUUUGAGAGUGUUUUGGUGUGUUUUUGGAGUGUUUCUGGGUGUUUUGGAGUAUUUUGAGGGUGUUUAAAGGUGUUGUGGUAGUUUAAAAUAUAUUGUUAGUUUACUUUUUUUUAACUUUUUAUUUUCUUAUGCAUUAUUUUAUUUCUUAUUUAUAUUGUGGUGUGUUGUCGGUGUGUCCUAACCUAACCUAACCAGCCUACCCUCUCCUAACCUCCCCUCAACCCACAGGCACUGAUUGGCGUGACAUUCAGCAUAGGCUUCACCGUCGGGCACACUGUGGGGGCUGCGUUCUCCCGCUGGGGAAGUACUGGGUGGUUCGCGGCCUCGGCUGUCUACGCACGCACUCUCACUGUGGCUAACAUAAUAUUCUUUGCUGUCUUCUUCCAGGAAUCGCUGCCUGAGGGCAGAAGGAGGAGGGACAUCGGUGCCAGUUUGACCGAGGCUUGGGAGGUGAUCAAUCCUAGGGCUCUGUUCUCCGUCAGCUGUGUCAAGGGCCUGGGCAGAGAAGGUGUGUGUGUGUGUGUUUGUAUGUUCAGUAUUGUGUGUUUGUUCGUGUUUGUAGUAUUGUGUGUGUGUGUGUGUGUGUGUGUGUGUGUACUAGCAAAUAUUCCCUUAUGUUUACUCCUGAAACACACACACACACACACACACACACACACACACACACACACACACACACACACACACACACACACACACACACACACCACCUCCCGUUCCUCCUCCUCCUCCUCUCCCUUCAUUCAUACACACACACACACACACACACACACACACACACACACACACACACACACACACACACACACAUACACUACCUCCCGUUCCUCCUCUUCCUCCUCUCCCUUCAUUCAUAAACAUCUGUCUUUCUCUCUCUCUGUAGAACGCAUGAAAUUAAUACAACUUAGCCGAGUUUACUUCCUCUACCUGUUCCUGUAUUCCAGCCUGGAGUUAACGCUGAUCUUCGCGACCCACCACAAGCAUAGUUACGACUCGUUGGCGCAGGACCGCAAGUUUUCCUUCCUGGGCCUGGUCAUGGCAAUUACACAGAGAGGGUUUAUGCGAAGUGUUAAGACUGGAACUGAAAAAGCAACUGCCAAUUAGGCACACACCUACAUUGUGAUGCAGCUCCUUGGAGGUGGAGAGCUGGCUGCCUCAGAGGAUCAGGAAACACGAGAGGUUCACAGAGGCUCGCCUCGGGCUUCGGUCGUCGUGAGGAACCUGGUGUCAGCAGUUCACUACAUGCACAGGAAAAGCAUCAGUGUUCACGGAGACCUAAAGCCAGACAGGGGUGAAAAGGGUUGGUGUUGAGGAUAGACAGAAAAGAAAAGAAAAGAAAGGAAAGGUAAAAAAAGGAAGUUUUUUUGCAUUGAUUUUCCAUCUGCUUAUUUUAAAGAAUUUAUUGCACGGAAUAUUAUUGAUCUCCAUCAUUUGUAUGGCCUUUAUAAUAAAAAGUAUGAAUUUA